This 916-nucleotide ribosomal RNA is filed under the name uncultured archaeon. RNAcentral describes it as "bacterial SSU rRNA". It matches the Rfam family "Archaeal small subunit ribosomal RNA", at positions 1 to 923 of the family's 1478-position model. The record is from RNAcentral.
UUCCGGUUGAUCCCGCCGGAGGUUACUGCUAUCGAGGUUCGACUAAGCCAUGCGAGUCGAAUGUAGCAAUACAUGGCGUACUGCUCAGUAACACGUGGACAACCUACCCUUGAGAUGGGAAUAAACCCGGGAAACUGGGUAUAAUACUCGAUAGAUCUCGACUGCUGGAAUGCAUCGAGAUCCAAAGCUCCGGCGCUCAAGGAUGGAUCUGCGGCCUAUCAGGUAGUAGUGGGUGUAGUGUACCUACUAGCCUACGACGGGUACGGGUUGUGAGAGCAAGAGCCCGGAGAUGGAUUCUGAGACACGAAUCCAGGCCCUACGGGGUGCAGCAGGCGCGAAAACUUUACAAUGCUGGAAACAGCGUUAAGGGGACCUCGAGUGCCAGGUUACAAAUCUGGCUGUCGUGAUGCCUAAAAAGCAUUGCAUAGCAAGGGCCGGGCAAGACCGGUGCCAGCCGCCGCGGUAACACCGGCGGCUCGAGUGGUAACCUUUAUUAUUGGGUCUAAAGGGUCUGUAGCCGGCCGGAUAAGUCUCUUGGGAAAUCUGGCAGCUUAACUGUCAGGCUUUCAGGAGAUACUGUCUGGCUCGAGGCCGGGAGAGGUGAGAGGUACUUCAGGGGUAGGGGUGAAGUCUUGUAAUCCUUGAAGGACCACCAGUGGCGAAGGCGUCUCACCAGAACGGACCUGACGGCAAGGGACGAAAGCUAGGGGCACGAACCGGAUUAGAUACCCGGGUAGUCCUAGCCGUAAACGAUACUCGCUAGGUGUCGGCAACGGUGCGACCGUUGUCGGUGCCGUAGGGAAGCCGUGAAGCGAGCCACCUGGGAAGUACGGCCGCAAGGCUGAAACUUAAAGGAAUUGGCGGGGGAGCACCACAACGGGUGGAGCUUGCGGUUUAAUUGGAGUCAACGCCGGAA